Molecule: ribosomal RNA, 549 nt
Filed under: uncultured Glomus
Lineage: Eukaryota; Fungi; Glomeromycota; Glomeromycetes; Glomerales; Glomeraceae
Description: SSU rRNA
Rfam family: Eukaryotic small subunit ribosomal RNA
Source: RNAcentral
UUGGAGGGCAAGUCUGGUGCCAGCAGCCGCGGUAAUUCCAGCUCCAAUAGCGUAUAUUAAAGUUGUUGCAGUUAAAAAGCUCGUAGUUGAAUUUCGGGAUCAAUAUAUCGGUCGUGCCAUCGGUACGUACUGGUAUGAUUGGUUUCUCCUUUCUGACGAACCAUGAUGUCAUUAAUUUGGUGUUAUGGGAAGUUAGGACUGUUACUUUGAAAAAAUUAGAGUGUUUAAAGCAGGCUUUAGCUUGAAUACAUUAGCAUGGAAUAAUGAAAUAGGACGUUCGAACCUAUUUUGUUGGUUUCUAGGAUCGACGUAAUGAUUAAUAGGGAUAGUUGGGGGCAUUAGUAUUCAAUUGUCAGAGGUGAAAUUCUUGGAUUUAUUGAAGACUAACUACUGCGAAAGCAUUUGCCAAGGAUGUUUUCAUUAAUCAAGAACGAAAGUUAGGGGAUCGAAGACGAUCAGAUACCGUCGUAGUCUUAACCAUAAACUAUGCCGACUAGGGAUCGGAUGAUGUUAAUUUUUUAAUGACUCAUUCGGCGCCUUACGGGAAAC